ACGCGAAGAACCUUACCUGGGUUUGAAAUGUAGUGGUAAGCCUCAGAGAUGAGGUCCCCUCUUCGGAGGCCGCUACAUAGGUGCUGCAUGGCUGUCGUCAGCUCGUGUCGUGAGAUGUUGGGUUAAGUCCCGCAACGAGCGCAACCCUUGUCCAUAGUUACUAACGCGUGAUGGCGAGAACUCUAUGGAGACUGCCGGUGAUAAACCGGAGGAAGGUGGGGAUGACGUCAAGUCCUCAUGGCCUUUAUGUCCAGGGCUACACACGUGCUACAAUGGACGGUACAAAGAGUUGCGAUCCCGUGAGGGGGAGCUAAUCUCAAAAAGCCGUUCUCAGUUCGGAUUGCACUCUGCAACUCGAGUGCAUGAAGCUGGAAUCGCUAGUAAUCGCGGAUCAGCACGCCGCGGUGAAUACGUUCCCGGGCCUUGUA
RNAcentral lists this ribosomal RNA (428 nucleotides) under uncultured Acidobacterium sp. RNAcentral's name for it is "bacterial SSU rRNA". It matches the Rfam family "Bacterial small subunit ribosomal RNA", at positions 959 to 1385 of the family's 1533-position model. The record is from RNAcentral. Lineage: Bacteria; Pseudomonadati; Acidobacteriota; Terriglobia; Terriglobales; Acidobacteriaceae.